Molecule: long non-coding RNA, 252 nt
Filed under: Mytilus galloprovincialis (Mediterranean mussel)
Lineage: Eukaryota; Metazoa; Mollusca; Bivalvia; Mytilida; Mytilidae
Source: RNAcentral
AAUUUAUUUUUACCGUUUUGCUUUUCAAGAUUGAAAAAGUAGCUAGUCGAAUUUUCACCUUCUUCCGCCCAUUUUACACGCGCCCUUAUUUUUGACGCCUCUGAUUUGUUCUCAUAGUAGUUUUUAAUUAGCAAUUCUAUUUCUGAAAUCUUAUUUUCAACCUCACCAGAGUUAUUACUGUUUAAUUUUAGUUUUUCUAAUUUCUGCUCAAGGUUAAUUAUAUAACUUUUUUUGAAAUUUUUGUUUAGUUUU